RNAcentral lists this transfer RNA (87 nucleotides) under Triticum aestivum (bread wheat). It matches the Rfam family "tRNA". From Rfam's summary of the family: Transfer RNA (tRNA) molecules are approximately 80 nucleotides in length. Their secondary structure includes four short double-helical elements and three loops (D, anti-codon, and T loops). The record is from Rfam by way of RNAcentral. Lineage: Eukaryota; Viridiplantae; Streptophyta; Magnoliopsida; Poales; Poaceae. RNAcentral also lists the same sequence under 1 other name.
GGAUGGAUAUCUGAGCGGUUGAAAGAGUCGGUCUUGAAAACCGAAGUAUUGAUAGGAAUACCGGGGGUUCGAAUCCCUCUCCAUCCG